GUGGGGAAUAUUGGACAAUGGGCGAAAGCCUGAUCCAGCCAUGCCGCGUGUGUGAAGAAGGUCUUCGGAUUGUAAAGCACUUUAAGUUGGGAGGAAGGGUAGUAACCUAAUACGUUGCUACUUUGACGUUACCGACAGAAUAAGCACCGGCUAACUUCGUGCCAGCAGCCGCGGUAAUACGAAGGGUGCAAGCGUUAAUCGGAAUUACUGGGCGUAAAGCGCGCGUAGGUGGUUCAGUAAGUUGGAAGUGAAAUCCCCGGGCUCAACCUGGGAACUGCUUUAAAAACUGCUGAGCUAGAGUACGGUAGAGGGUGGUGGAAUUUCCUGUGUAGCGGUGAAAUGCGUAGAUAUAGGAAGGAACACCAGUGGCGAAGGCGACCACCUGGACUGAUACUGACACUGAGGUGCGAAAGCGUGGGGAGCAAACAGGAUUAGAAACCCCUGUAGUCC
RNAcentral lists this ribosomal RNA (450 nucleotides) under uncultured bacterium. RNAcentral's name for it is "partial 16S ribosomal RNA". It matches the Rfam family "Bacterial small subunit ribosomal RNA", at positions 354 to 796 of the family's 1533-position model. The record is from RNAcentral.